Molecule: long non-coding RNA, 1322 nt
Organism: Bactrocera latifrons
Lineage: Eukaryota; Metazoa; Arthropoda; Insecta; Diptera; Tephritidae
Exons: 3
Source: RefSeq, a predicted model, not a curated record
AAUAAAAUUGUUGACCCUAUUAAAAAGUCUGUGCUUCAAUGGUUGAAUGAAGGGCUCUCAUGUCGGCAAGUUGCAAAUUUAGCUGAAAUUUCAUUUGGACGAACUAUCAACUGUCUGCUGGCCUCGGGAGCAGUAAAAUAAGGUACUGAGGUUCAAAAGGAACUUAAGAUGACUUACGGAAAACAAGUUUCUCGUAUGACUGUACACCGCGAGUUGAAAAAACUAAGGUUUAAAGCCAGGCGCAAAAUUAAAAAACCUUUGCUUACUAAACGUCAGCAAGAACUACUUCUAAAAUUUGCUAAAGCGCACCGAAACUGGACUCCAGAACAGUGGGCGAAUGURUUUUGGACAGACGAAAGCAAGAUUAAUCUUCACGGGUCAGACGGAAUAUAUUACGUUUGGAAGAAGUCAUCAAAGACAAUUACCAGCCGCGAUGUCAUCCCAACACUCAAAUUUGGAGGCUUUUUUGGGGUGGCUUUUGUAAAAGUGGUAUUGGGGACCUAAUUUUAAUCGAGAGAAAUAUGGACACGAAUAUGUGUAUAGAUAUAUUAAGGCAAGAGUAUUUUUCUUCGUUGGAGAAAUUGGAUCUGGACAGUAGCAAAAUUGUUCUGAUGCAAGACAACGACCCCAAGCACAAAGCUAAGAAGGUUAUGGAGUAUCUUAGAAGUUAACGAAUUGAAACUUUGGAAUGGYCUCCUCAAAGUCCCGAUAUUAAUCCUAUCGAGAGCCUGUAGUUUGUGAAAAAAAAGGGUAUACAAUUAUGCCAGUCCACCGAAAACAAAGGCGGAAUUAUUUACUAGAUGUGUAGAAGUAUGGARCUCCAUCACUUAAAAAGAAUGUGAAGAUUUAGCYAAUAGCGUUCUCAAGCGGAUUGAAGCGGUGAUUACGGCCAACGGAGGCUAUACUAAAUAUUAAAGCGGUAAAAAUUACAUUGUAUCAAAAUUGAGAAUCGACAUUCGUGAUUUUAUUUGCUCAAUUGGAUUACGUACUGUAUAAAUGCAUUUGCACCAUGGCUACUAAUUUGGAAAGUAGUAGUGBGCCACAAAGCUCAAGUCGUGGUAGACUUAUCGUUUUAAAGGAGCCAUUUUUGCUUUGCUACUAAUAAGUGACUGCGGUCGCGGUGUCACUCUGUGUGCGCACAUUGAGGAGGAGGAGUUGAGUUGAGCCACUAAUCUGCUGUUACUGUUAUGUAAACAAAGCCACAGCUGAGAGGUAGAAACAUCAAGGGGAGUCCGGGGCUUAGUUUCUAUUGGAAUCCAAGAUGGCCGACUCUUAACCGGAAAAUGGUUGCAUUGUGUUAUUUUCUAAAAAUUAAUGGAAAA